This 497-nucleotide ribosomal RNA is filed under the name uncultured bacterium. RNAcentral's name for it is "partial 16S ribosomal RNA". It matches the Rfam family "Bacterial small subunit ribosomal RNA", at positions 28 to 507 of the family's 1533-position model. The record is from RNAcentral.
GAUGAACGCUGGCGGCGUGCCUAAUACAUGCAAGUCGAGCGAACAGACGAGGAGCUUGCUCCUCUGACGUUAGCGGCGGACGGGUGAGUAACACGUGGAUAACCUACCUAUAAGACUGGGAUAACUUCGGGAAACCGGAGCUAAUACCGGAUAAUAUAUUGAACCGCAUGGUUCAAUAGUGAAAGACGGUUUUGCUGUCACUUAUAGAUGGAUCCGCGCCGCAUUAGCUAGUUGGUAAGGUAACGGCUUACCAAGGCAACGAUGCGUAGCCGACCUGAGAGGGUGGUCGGCCACACUGGAACUGCGACACGGUCCGGACAACUACGGGAGGAAGCAGUAGGGAUUCUUCCGCAAUGGGCGAGAGCUUGACGGAGCAACGACGCGUGAGUGAUGAAGGUCUUCGGAUCGUAAAACUCUGUUAUUAGGGAAAAACAAAUGUGUACGUAACUAUGCACGUCUGGACGGUACCUAAUCAGAAAGCCACGGCUAACUACGUG